RNAcentral lists this long non-coding RNA (1450 nucleotides) under Helianthus annuus (common sunflower). Its description in RNAcentral is "hypothetical non coding rna". The record is from RNAcentral. Lineage: Eukaryota; Viridiplantae; Streptophyta; Magnoliopsida; Asterales; Asteraceae.
UUCCAAACAAAAUAGAGUAUCCUAUUCGGAGUCCAUGCGUUCCACCUAAAGCCUUCUGCCUUGACCUUGCUGCCCAAAGUCUCAGCCACUCUCCAUCUAAAUUGAGCUACCGAAAACGAACCAUCAGACUCUACAGUACCCAACGAAGCUGACCCUUGGACCCCCGCCUUGGCCAAAUCUCUAUCAACUGAGAUGAUGUCCUUCCAACAACCCGGCUACUCGGCUGGUCUUUUUUAAAUGGAACAUCAAAAUCCUGGUUCGGAGUACCAUGGAUAGCUUUCACGACACAGGCCCAAAGUAUUAGAAUAUGGGCCCACGGGCUCAGUUAGGUCUCUAGGGUUACUCGUAAUCCCUAUAUAUUGUAACCUACUCAUUCAGUAAUGAUCAUUCAGUCUUUCAUAUUCUUACAUGCUGGUCCACAUUCUUCAAAUACCUGACACUCCAUUUUAAUAACAAAGCCCAGCUUAGGCUGUGUAUUUCACCCAGCCCCAAGCCGCCCAACCUCUUGUGGGUUUGGACUUUCCACCACGCCGCCCACCUAAUUUUACACUUCGCACCAGUGAAGCCCCAAACAAAAUCACGACAGAUACCUUCCAAUGUUUUCAGAACCUUCACCGGGGCUUUAAAAAUAGAGAGGUAGUAUGACGGAAGGUUGCCGAGAACCGCCUUGGCGAGGGUAAUCUUCCCGCCCAUGGAUAGGGUCUUCGCUUUCCACCUAGACAACUUCUUUGUGAUUUAAAUAUUUGUGAUUAUUAGAACAGAGUGAAUGCAACAAAAUUGAUUUCUGGAUCAUUUGGUUAACUCAUAUUCAUGAGGAGUUGAGCUAACAAGCUUAGGCUUUCCAACCAACUGAUCAACAAAUCUUUCAUUUCUAUCCAAUCUCCUUCAUAUAAAUUGAUGUGAAUACUCUUAAAAUAACCCCAAACCACACCCAGAUUUAUACCCAACAUCAUAAGUAGCAAAAAGAAAGUCAUAUAUUUCAGAUGUUUUCAGUUUGCAAAUUGAUUUUUUCCCCUCAAAUAAAGUAGUUUAAAAACAAAAUAAUUAAGUGAGGCUCAGAUGUGUAAACAAGGGAAGAAAGGCGGAUAAAUCCACCAUGGCUGCAAAUCUAUGAAUUGCCCAGCCAAGAUGUGGAUCAUCUCAAACUUUGCUCCAUCCACUCGGACAUAUUAUUAUACAGCUUCAAUCAUCAUCACAGCCUCUUAACUUAAAACAAUCAUUCGAGUAAUUAACUCUGUUAUUCAGGGGUAAGUGUAUAGAAUGGUAGUUUCCGUUCAAAAAAAAAAAAAAAAACUCAUUUCAUGUUGAUAUAUGCAAUUGCUGCAAACUGAUAGAACACAGGAGGGGUUGUUGAAAUAUGAAUAGAAUCAUCGGCUAUGAAGAUGAAUUUUGACCAAACAAAGUCAAAGUCCUAAUUCAGAGGAGGGCAACCACCCCUAAUAACCAGAUC